RNAcentral lists this ribosomal RNA (710 nucleotides) under uncultured bacterium. RNAcentral's name for it is "bacterial SSU rRNA". It matches the Rfam family "Bacterial small subunit ribosomal RNA", at positions 223 to 932 of the family's 1533-position model. The record is from RNAcentral.
AGAUGGGCACGCGCAAGAUUAGAUAGUUGGUGAGGUAACGGCUCACCAAGUCAAUGAUCUUUAGGGGGCCUGAGAGGGUGAUCCCCCACACUGGCACUGAGACACGGACCAGACUCCUACGGGAGGCAGCAGUGAGGAAUAUUGGACAAUGGGUUAGCGCCUGAUCCAGCCAUCCCGCGUGAAGGACGACGGCCCUAUGGGUUGUAAACUUCUUUUGUAUAGGGAUAAACCUACUCUCGUGAGAGUAGCUGAAGGUACUAUACGAAUAAGCACCGGCUAACUCCGUGCCAGCRGCCGCGGUAAUACGGAGGGUGCAAGCGUUAUCCGGAUUUAUUGGGUUUAAAGGGUCCGUAGGCGGAUCUGUAAGUCAGUGGUGAAAUCUCACAGCUUAACUGUGAAACUGCCAUUGAUACUGCAGGUCUUGAGUAAAUUUGAAGUGGCUGGAAUAAGUAGUGUAGCGGUGAAAUGCAUAGAUAUUACUUAGAACACCAAUUGCGAAGGCAGGUCACUAAGAUUUAACUGACGCUGAUGGACGAAAGCGUGGGGAGCGAACAGGAUUAGAUACCCUGGUAGUCCACGCCGUAAACGAUGCUAACUCGUUUUUGGGGUUUCGGCUUCAGAGACUAAGCGAAAGUGAUAAGUUAGCCACCUGGGGAGUACGUUCGCAAGAAUGAAACUCAAAGGAAUUGACGGGGGGCCCGCACAAGCGG